RNAcentral lists this ribosomal RNA (299 nucleotides) under Clostridioides difficile. RNAcentral describes it as "partial 16S ribosomal RNA". It matches the Rfam family "Bacterial small subunit ribosomal RNA", at positions 510 to 809 of the family's 1533-position model. The record is from RNAcentral. Lineage: Bacteria; Bacillati; Bacillota; Clostridia; Peptostreptococcales; Peptostreptococcaceae.
AGCAGCCGCGGUAAUACGUAGGGGGCUAGCGUUAUCCGGAUUUACUGGGCGUAAAGGGUGCGUAGGCGGUCUUUCAAGUCAGGAGUGAAAGGCUACGGCUCAACCGUAGUAAGCUCUUGAAACUGGGCGACUUGAGUGCAGGAGAGGAGAGUGGAAUUCCUAGUGUAGCGGUGAAAUGCGUAGAUAUUAGGAGGAACACCAGUUGCGAAGGCGGCUCUCUGGACUGUAACUGACGCUGAGGCACGAAAGCGUGGGGAGCAAACAGGAUUAGAUACCCUGGUAGUCCACGCUGUAAACGA